GGGAGUGAAAUAGAACCUGAAACCCUGCACUUACAAGCUGUGGAAGCACAUUUCUUGUGUGACCGCGUACUUUUUGUAGAACGGGCCAACGAGUUACGUUAAGUAGCAAGGUUAAGCACGUAAGGUGUGGAGCCGUAGCGAAAACGAGUUUUAACUGAGCGUUCAGUUACUUGACGUAGACCCGACACCGGGCGACCUACCCAUGAGCAGGAUGAAGCGAAAGUAAAAUUUCGUGGAGGUCCGAACC
RNAcentral lists this ribosomal RNA (247 nucleotides) under Clostridioides difficile. RNAcentral describes it as "partial 23S ribosomal RNA". It matches the Rfam family "Bacterial large subunit ribosomal RNA", at positions 534 to 780 of the family's 2925-position model. The record is from RNAcentral. Lineage: Bacteria; Bacillati; Bacillota; Clostridia; Peptostreptococcales; Peptostreptococcaceae.